This is an RNA transcript of Vanessa atalanta (red admiral), 5927 nucleotides long. It is a transcript of the gene named la-related protein 1, with no coding region annotated. NCBI's taxonomy places the organism in Eukaryota, Metazoa, Arthropoda, Insecta, Lepidoptera, Nymphalidae. The record is from RefSeq and is a predicted model, not a curated record. The transcript is spliced from 27 exons.
UCCGCGAGUUCCGUGUAUGUUGCGGAAAAUACCCUUUUUGGGCGUCCGACCACAUGUGUGAAUUGUGAACAAAAUAUGGAUCUUUAGUUAUUUUCAGGUUUGGAGAGCCAUAUUUAGUGUGAUCGAUACACGUAAUCGAUAGAUAAAGUGUGCCCGGAGCGUUGUGUGUCGCUAAAAAGUUGGAACAAGUCAACGGAAGUGAAUUUUUUCGAUGUAAAUACGGUCGAUCCAGGGUCAGUCUGGUGUGCAUUUUGAACUGUGCGCAUAUUUCUCCCUGAUACUCUAUAACUGCGUUCGAUACAUCAACAUUACCGAGUUUGACCUUCGUAAGAUCGGGAAAGUUCUGAAUUUCGUGGGUCCGACCCGCAACAUGCCGUCGUGCUAAGGGGCAUGGCGGCGCGCUCGUGAUCCUAGGUCGGCGCGGAGCGCGCGCCCGGUCUUAUAUAACGUGGGUAGCAGCGGCAUGGCCGCGCGUGUGUCGGUCGAGGGCGCAGGGCCCUCGUACGCCUCUGUGCUAAACUUCAGAGGAAGUGAUUGUAAUAAAGAGAACAUAGAGGCGACGGAGGAAGUGGCGGACGCACCGCCGCGACAGGACGACGAGGAGGAGGAGGGCUUUGUGCCGGUCAUCUCUCACGCGAGGAGACCGGCCAAGAGUCGCAGGGAGCGAGAGCGCAGGGCACCACCUCGCCCGCACAAGGCACCCCAACCUCAUGCUGAACCAGGCCAACAGCCAACAGCGGAGCAACAACAGCAAGCAGCUGAAGCUCAGCCUAAGAAGUUUGUUGAAGCACCCAUCCCUAAGGUCAAUCCUUGGCAGGUGCGAGGUGGGAGUACUGGCGCACCGCCUCCAGCGCCUCCGGCCCUUGAAGAGAAGAGGUCUCCUCUACAGCCGCAGCAACAGGGAAGGGCGCAGUUACCACCAGAGCCCGUCCCGCCACCUCCAGCUCCGAAACCAGCCGUCGUGAAGCCGCCAAAGAAUGCCAAGAUAAAUCAGAAGGCGUCCGACUUCACGGAUAUCGGUGAUGAUUGGCCAACGCUAGGGGCGGCAGUCGCUGGGGCGAGAUGUCAUUCGACACCACCGCCCCACGAGGACUCCGCACACCAUAACGGAAACGCGGAUCAAGAACGGAAACCGCUCGAAGAGCAACAGGUGAAGGUGGAGAAGGUCGAACCGACUCAUAAUCACCAGGGAAACAACGACAGACAUUUGCAACACGAUAAGAACAAAGCAGCAGCUGGUAAGGGUGGCAGCAAGUCCGGCAAGCACAAAUGGGUGCCAUUAGAUAUAGACGUAAAAGCCGCGAGACCCUCGAAACAUGGACCACAGCAUCCGCCCAGACAAGAUCACGACACGGUGUCGCUGAACGGCGAGGAGUCCCGCGGGCGCGGCGCGGGGCGCGGGAGGGGCGCGGCGAGAGCGCGCGGGGCCCGCCGCGCCGGCGCGCGCGCCGCCUCGCUGCACCCGCCGCCGCACGCGCUCUACCACCACCCCGACAUGCCGCAGCUGCGCGUUCAGCCGGCCAUACCGCAGGUGGUGCUCCGGUACGGUAUCGGCGGUCUCCCCAUCGCGCCGCUCGCUCAGGCGUUCUACUACGGCGCGGCCAGCGGGGCUCCGUACGGUAUGGCGUUGGAUCAGGCGACGCUCAAGGACCUCAUCAAGAAUCAAAUCGAGUACUACUUCAGCCCCGACAACCUGGCGCGCGACUUCUUCCUGCGGCGCAAGAUGUCGGCGGACGGCACGAUCCCCGUGACGCUGAUCGCGUCGUUCCACCGCGUGCGCGCGCUCACGGCCGACGUGCAGCUCGUGCUCGACGCCAUCCGCGACUCCGAGCGCCUGCAGCUCAUCAACGGGUUCAAGGUGCGGACGGCCUUCGAGCCCACCAAGUGGCCGAUCCUCGACCUCACCAACCACGAGGACGACCGCGAGAGGCCGGACGACUCCGAGAAACGAGGCGACGACGAGAGGAUACAGAGUAAAGAAGUGCCCGAGAAGGCGAAAGAGGCGGAGGCUGCUGUCGAAGUUGCGCAAAAACCAACGCCGGUCGAACCGGAAGACGAAAAGAUUUCAUCAGCCACAGAACCCGAAGAAGUGGCUGAAGCGAAGCCAGAUAAAUCAGAGCCAACUCCGGAAGAACCUCAGCCGACUCCGCAGGAACCUAAACCGACUCCACAGGAACCUCAGCCGACACCAGAGGAACCAUCGCUCCCUGAAGAGAAAGAAACAGACGAGAUUAGAGAAGGGAGCGAGAAGAUUGAUUCCAACGAUGACCCCCCGCUACAGCCUGAGAUUGCAGACAAACCCGGGGAGAAACGUCGCAAGAAGCAGAUGGUGGGUAUAUUCCCCCUGGCCACGAUGGGCGGUCCGCUCGUGGCGCCCGUGUCCAGCCUGCUGCGCGCCGUCCCGCCUCCGCCGCUGCCCAGAAUGUUCCGCACUGGUCGAACGUCGUUGCUGGCCCACGACCAUCUCAACCCAGACGUGCCCGAAUUCGUGCCGCAAGCUAGACGCGCUGAAGAACCGAGUUCUGAGAAAUCAAAUAUUCAAGACGGUCAAGCGAGCCUCGAGAACGUCGAUCCUGAUGUCUGGACCGAGGUGAAGCGGCGCACGAAGGCGGGCUCGCGCGAGCGCGCCGCCCCCGCGCCGCCCGCGCCCGAGGACGAGCCGCGCGAGGAGCUGCACUUCCAGCUCGACGAGGAGCUCGACCUGCCGCCGCCGCGCCACAACACCUUCACCGACGCCUGGUCCGACGAGGAGUCCGACUUGGAGCUGUCGGAUCGCGACAUCGGCCGGCUGUUGAUUGUAACGCAGACGGCGACCCGCCAGCCCAAGCACGACGGGCACGACCGUCAGGGCGACUGGGCAACGCGCACCAAGAUCACUCAGGACUUGGAGCAGGUGAUCACGGAUGGUCUCAGACGCUAUGAAGAGGACCUAUGGAAUGAAUUUUCAUCGUCGUACAGCAGCACGCCGCAGUACCGCACCGUGUCGCUCAUCUCCCGCGAGCAGUUCGAGGCGGCCGCGCCCGCCGAGCGCCACUGCAACCCCAGCGAGCCGCCGCCGCCGCCGCCCAGACCCGCCGUGGAGCAAACACAAGAUGGAGGCGGCAAAAUGCGACCGAGACGCACGGCGCGCUUCUACGCCGCCAACAAGGACCCGCACGCCACCGACGUCAUAAGCAGCAGGAAGCACAAGACCCGGCACAGUCUGAACCCGCCGGUGGAGCACCACGUGGGAUGGAUCAUGGACGUCCGUGAGCACAAGCGAACGCAUCGCGACAGUACCGGUUCGUCGCUGGGAACGUCCCCGACGCUGGGCUCGUCGUGCGGCUCCGUCCCGCAGUCGCUGCCCGCCUUCCACCACCCGAGCCACGGCCUGCUGCGGGAGAACCACUUCACCCAGCAGGCCUACCACAAGUACCACUCCAGGUGUCUUAAGGAACGCAAGAAGCUCGGUAUCGGCCAGUCUCAAGAAAUGAACACGCUGUUCAGAUUCUGGUCGUUCUUCCUACGGGACCACUUCAACAGAACCAUGUACAACGAAUUUAGGACACUGGCUAACGAGGAUGCGUCGGCCGGUUUCCGCUACGGGCUCGAAUGCCUGUUCCGUUUCUAUUCGUACGGUCUAGAACGGAAGUUCCGCCCCGAGCUAUAUCAGCACUUCCAGGCUGAAACGCUCGCUGACUACGAGAAAGGUCAAUUGUACGGUCUGGAAAAAUUCUGGGCUUUCCUAAAAUACUACAAGCACGCGACGGCGCUGCAAGUCGAGCCGAAGCUUGAAGCGCAUCUCGCUAAGUUCAAGAGCAUCGAAGACUUUCGUGUGCUAGAGCCGCAGCUGAACGAGCUGCUGGCGUCGCAGGGCGCGGCGGGCGCGGGGCGCGGCCCGCACGCGCGGCCCUACGACCGGCACCGCUCCGUGUCCGAGAGCGAGCGCCACCUGCAGGCCUACCGCGGCAGCUACGGGCGAGCGCCGUCCGGCACGGCGGGCCCGGGGACCAACCGCGGGCGCGCCGGCUCGUGCGGCGCGCAGAGCGUCAUCGCCAACGCCCGGCCGCGGCCGAAACCCAAGUCGAAACCGGAAGCCGCGCCGAACGAGUUGAAAGCGCCAGUGGCCGCUAAGACGCAGUAAUGAUACGACAUACGAACACUGUACAUAUGAGUAGACCCGUGUGCAUGUGUUACUUAUCUAGACUUUUAAAGUGCAUUUUUUAUAUAUAUAAAUUACAAAAAAAAAAUACUAUAAAAAUAAAAGUGAGUAAAAGUGUUGUGUGCGGAUCGCGCCGGUGUUUAGUGUUGACUAGUCGCGACCGGUUCGAGCCGGUUGCGGCCGGUUCCGAUCUGGCUGCGCGGGCGGUGUGCGGUUACUGGGAUUGCAGGCUGGUUAUAUGUGGAGCCUAGCUUGUACGCAUCGACAAUAAGCAAUAUGCUACGCGGUUUAGACGCCACUAUCAUAAUAGCGUAAGAUAACCAUAGAAACAUACAAUAUAUACAUAUAUAUGUAUUUAUAUAUUUUUGACGUGUAAAGUUAAUAUUUCGAUACGAACAUCUAAAAUGAAUAUAUGCAUAAUAGUGACACUCUUAGUCUAAUAAACAUAAUAUAAAUCAAUUAAAUAAGUACGAUUAAUGCUUGGUAGAUUAAGGUUUGCCAGUGGAUACGCUGGGUUUGACGGGGGAGUGAGCGACCAGUGUAUUAAGUGUUCGGUUUGCGAUAUGUUUAUUGCCUGACUCGACAUGUUUUUGAACGAUGAAGUUGUUUGUGUUGUUUCAGAACUAAUCGCGCACAUACGAACUAGAGUAACGGAACGUAUGCCUUUUUGUGAUGGCUAUAUAUAGUUGUCUCUCUCUGUUGCACUCGUACGAAAUCCAAUACCCAAAAUAUAGCUUAAUGUCGAAGUUAUGAGUCGUAAGAUUAGCUAAUUUUAUUUCGUUUUUAAUUAGUGAAUUGAUCUCUGACCUCCAGAUAGCUCGACAGGUCUGCACACUGAUGGCUCACUCUACGCUGUCCGUGGUCCGAGUGGUGCUGCGUAUCGUCUAUGGUCAUUGUAAGUGGCCGGCGCAGAUCUCUAGUGGCGAAAAUUGUAAAACUGUACAGUUAUAGAUAUUCUUUCUCUGGUUAAAUAGAAUUGAUAUUAAAAAAAAAAAAAAAACGAACGACGAAUCGUCGCUAAGACUGGCUAUGUGCAUAUUUAGUAGAGAAAUUGUUGUUUUUUUAUUUCUUUGGUAGCACUAUUGUUUAUGGUUAAAAACGUUUGACUGCGUACUGCGGAUUUGAGAAAACAUCGAAACAAGUUUCAUCAUGAUUGAUUUUUCAUAGAAAUUUCGGAGCAAAAGUUUCAAUUCUGUGAUAAAAAUGGUAAAAAAAAAACAAAACGAUGAAACAAUACGUUUUUCAGACCGCGUUUCGAAUACUGCCACUUGUAAUAUUAUGACACAAUCAAACACACAAAUUCCUUAGAAAUAACCGCGUGGUGAUUCAAACGCUACACCGUAAAUGGUAAAACUUUAACAGUUGAAUAGAGGCAUGGCGCAGUAACAUUCACCAUUCCUUGCUCCGCUCUGCCAGUCUGAUUGACGAGUGACUGGUGCCCACUCAACGCAAAGCUCUACCACGAAGUCGAGAGAAUACCUUUUCUAGAAACAUCCGUAACUACGACCGUCUCGCUUAAAUGGAUGCGAAACUUUUGUAAUACCAUCCGAUUCAUUCGUUAAAUAUCACCAAAGCCAUUAUGAGAUAGAUUUAGUUUGGAGAUGGUUGUCCAUAACAUAUAUAUCUCGAGGCUUUAAAUCGCUCAAAAUAUUACAUGUGUAUAUAUUCGUAAAGAUUUUAAUGGAUAUCGUAAGGCGACAUUUGAUAUGUUUGUAAAAGCUAUAUGUACAGACACUAGCAUUAUCGUCUAAAUUAAAAAAAUAUAUAUGUCUCGCUCUAACCAUAC